CCUACGGGAGGCAGCAGUGGGGAAUCUUGCGCAAUGGGCGAAAGCCUGACGCAGCCAUGCCGCGUGAAUGAUGAAGGUCUUAGGAUUGUAAAAUUCUUUCACCGGGGACGAUAAUGACGGUACCCGGAGAAGAAGCCCCGGCUAACUUCGUGCCAGCAGCCGCGGUAAUACGAAGGGGGCUAGCGUUGCUCGGAAUUACUGGGCGUAAAGGGAGCGUAGGCGGACAUUUAAGUCAGGGGUGAAAUCCCAGAGCUCAACUCUGGAACUGCCUUUGAUACUGGGUGUCUUGAGUGUGAUAGAGGUAUGUGGAACUCCGAGUGUAGAGGUGAAAUUCGUAGAUAUUCGGAAGAACACCAGUGGCGAAGGCGACAUACUGGAUCAUUACUGACGCUGAGGCUCGAAAGCGUGGGGAGCAAACAGGAUUAGAUACCCUGGUAGUCCACGCCGUAAACGAUGAUUGCUAGUUGUUGGGAUGUUUACAUCUCGGUGACGCNGCUACGCAUAAGUACACUCCGCCGUCGGGAGGUACGGUCGCGAGAUUAAACUACGUAAGUUAAGUUAGUACGGCGUUGAGACGNGCGACGGACGACGACGAGGGAGAGG
RNAcentral lists this ribosomal RNA (603 nucleotides) under uncultured bacterium. Its description in RNAcentral is "bacterial SSU rRNA". The stretch from base 1 to 517 matches the Rfam family "Bacterial small subunit ribosomal RNA", at positions 338 to 873 of the family's 1533-position model. The record is from RNAcentral.